AGAGUUUGAUCAUGGCUCAGGACGAACGCUGGCGGCGUGCUUAACACAUGCAAGUCAGGGGGUGGGGCAACCCAUCACCGGCGAACGGGUGCGUAACACGUGAGCGACCUGCCUUCGAGUGGGGGAUAGCCGGCCCAACGGCCGGGUAACACCGCAUACGACGCCGGCCCCGCAUGGGGCGGGCGUGAAACCACUUGGGCUCGGAGAGGGGCUCGCGGCCUAUCAGCUAGUUGGCGGGGUAAUGGCCUACCAAGGCGACGACGGGUAGCUGGCGUGAGAGCGUGGCCAGCCACACAGGGACUGAGACACGGCCCUGACUCCUACGGGAGGCAGCAGUGGGGAAUCUUGCACAAUGGGCGAAAGCCUGAUGCAGCGACGCCGCGUGAGGGAUGACGGCCUUCGGGUUGUAAACCUCUUUCACCCACGACGAAGCGAAAGUGACGGUAGUGGGAGAAGAAGCACCGGCCAACUACGUGCCAGCAGCCGCGGUAAUACGUAGGGUGCAAGCGUUGUCCGGAAUUAUUGGGCGUAAAGGGCUCGUAGGCGGUCUGUCACGUCGGGAGUGAAAACUCAGGGCUCAACCCUGAGCGUGCUCCCGAUACGGGCAGACUAGAGGUAGGUAGGGGAGAAUGGAAUUCCUGGUGUAGCGGUGGAAUGCGCAGAUAUCAGGAGGAACACCAGUGGCGAAGGCGGUUCUCUGGGCCUUACCUGACGCUGAGGAGCGAAAGCAUGGGGAGCAAACAGGAUUAGAUACCCCAGUAGUCC
This 765-nucleotide ribosomal RNA is filed under the name uncultured Nocardioidaceae bacterium. Its description in RNAcentral is "bacterial SSU rRNA". It matches the Rfam family "Bacterial small subunit ribosomal RNA", at positions 8 to 796 of the family's 1533-position model. Lineage: Bacteria; Bacillati; Actinomycetota; Actinomycetes; Propionibacteriales; Nocardioidaceae. The record is from RNAcentral.